Molecule: long non-coding RNA, 1002 nt
Filed under: Coturnix japonica (Japanese quail)
Lineage: Eukaryota; Metazoa; Chordata; Aves; Galliformes; Phasianidae
Description: lncRNA (ENSCJPG00005008551.1)
Source: RNAcentral
UCUGGUGAACCACAGGAGAGGUCCAACGCUACCUGGAGCAACUGAGGGUUCUCAGUAUUGAUGUAGACUUCACCAAAUAUAUUCAGGGAGCAUCACUCAUCUCAGUGCAAUAUAAAAAGUGCUGGCCAGCAAGAAAUCAGUGGAGAAGUUCAGCUACCUGCAUCUAGGACAUGAGACUACUCUUUGUACAGUAGAAGGCUAAAAGUAUCCAGCAAGUCCUGACCAGCAGAAAAGAACUAGGUAAAAUUCUACACAGCUGGAAGACUCCAGCAGAGACAGCAGCAGAGAAGGCAGCGUUAAGUUUUUAAAGACAGCAAAAAAAAAAAAAAAAAAGCAGUUUCUGAUAAAGUUACACAUUGGAAAUACAUUUUACAGAGCAUUGUAAAAACUUGAAAAGGGAAGCAAAGAAAAUUAAGGCCAACACAAGUAAGAAAGUAAGAACUGUGGGAAGAAUUCUGAAAGACAUGUUAGGAGUGUAACAAUAAAGUCACUCAAUACACGGAGUGAAAAAAUGCUCAACUUUGAAAAAGUGGUAAAAUUUUCAAGAGUAGUGAAUACAUGAAAAUGCCUGGUAUCAAUGGAAAAGUUUGGAAAAAUUUGUAUUUGGAGAAGUUACAAGAGCUUGCCGAGGGAUUUUCUGAACUCUCUCCUUUAGUUAUUUUUGGUUGAUGUUUUUUUGUUUUAUGUCAGCAGCUCCUGCAAUGUAGAUGAAAACUGGGGAAGCCCGAAGAUCAUUUAGGAUAGCGUCAAUAUUUAAAAAACAGGUGGAAACCUACGGGGAGGGCAGAGCACCGAACUUUGAGCUUAAACUCCUUGAGGAACAGAUUGGAGAUUCAAGAAGCCGAGGGUAAUACACAGUUUACAGCAGAGCACUAGAGAAAGCAAAUGCUUCCUCCAUGCUGUACACAUUUACAAGAGCUGAGAGAAGAAUGAAUUCUCCAAAAAUGCCAGUGUGGAAGUAAGUAGGACUGGAGUUUAUUUCCUUGGAAGCUUAGCAAAUCC